This 22-nucleotide microRNA is filed under the name Mus musculus (house mouse). RNAcentral's name for it is "mmu-miR-344g-3p". Its record names the gene mmu-miR-344g-3p. The record is from miRBase by way of RNAcentral. Lineage: Eukaryota; Metazoa; Chordata; Mammalia; Rodentia; Muridae.
CAGGCUCUAGCCAGGGGCUUGA